GACGAACGCUGGCGGCGUGCUUAACACAUGCAAGUCGAACGGAAAGGCCCUGCUUUUGUGGGGUGCUCGAGUGGCGAACGGGUGAGUAACACGUGAGUAACCUGCCCUUGACUUUGGGAUAACUUCAGGAAACUGGGGCUAAUACCGGAUAGGAGCUCCUGCUGCAUGGUGGGGGUUGGAAAGUUUCGGCGGUUGGGGAUGGACUCGCGGCUUAUCAGCUUGUUGGGGGGGUAGUGGCUUACCAAGGCCUUGACGGGUAGCCGGCCUGGGAGGGUGACCGGCCACAUUGGGACUGGGAUACGGCCCAGCCUCCUCCGGGAGGCAGCAGUGGGGAAUAUUGCACAAUGGGCGGAAGCCUGAUGCAGCAACGCCGCGUGCGGGAUGACGGCCUUCGGGUUGUAAACCGCUUUCGCCUGUGACGAAGCGUGAGUGACGGUAAUGGGUAAAGAAGCACCGGCUAACUACGUG
This 468-nucleotide ribosomal RNA is filed under the name uncultured bacterium. RNAcentral describes it as "partial 16S ribosomal RNA". It matches the Rfam family "Bacterial small subunit ribosomal RNA", at positions 28 to 507 of the family's 1533-position model. The record is from RNAcentral.